This 96-nucleotide ribosomal RNA is filed under the name uncultured bacterium. Its description in RNAcentral is "partial 16S ribosomal RNA". The record is from RNAcentral.
CAACUCCUCAAAAACAGACGACGCUUCUCAGUUCGGAUUGUCAGUCUGCAACCUCGCACUGUACAUGAGAGUCGUGGAAUCGCUUUUAGUAAUUGC